UGCAGUUAUAUCUGAUCAAAUGCGCAUUAUUAUUCUUUAGCUUGGGUUAAACUAAUUAAUUUUACUUGGCUGGAACAGCAGCUACGCUAAUUAUGUCUCUAUUUGUUUCUCUGUUUUGCCACAGAAUUUACAUCACGUGGUAACAAGGAUUUACACAAGCUCCAGUUUUGAUCCAGAACACCUGAGAAGAGAUGAUGCCAGCCCCUCAGAGGACCUCAGAUGAUGCUAACCCAGAGACAACAUACAGAACUACCAACUUUUGCUAUAAGUUUGAUUACAUAAUUGCUGUUAAUAGUGUUAAUCGUCUGUUUGUUUAUGUCUUUUAUUGAUUUAUCUGAACAUUUCUGCCGUAUGCACAUAAACUGACAGUCACCACUGAUAAGCUACUACUAAAUAUUGUAGAAACUUAAUUUUCUGUAAAGUUGCUUUGCAAUGAUCUGUAUCAUAAAAAGCACUAUACAAAUAAACUUGAAUUGAAUUGAAUUGAACUUUGAGAAGGUUUUAAACAACAGUGUGUCUGCCACUUGGAUGUACAGUCCAUUGUAUUACUCCAGUGAGGGUUUCGCUUUCAGGCUCUCUUAAAAGUGUAUGAGAAUUACCUUUCAGUAUAUGUUGGUCUGGUAUCUGGUGCAUAUGAUGACCAGUUGCAGUGGCCUUGUCUAUGGAGAAAAAUAACCUUCCAAAUACUUGACCAGAAUCCACACAUACAGAAGCGCAUGUCCUCUGAGAAAAGCUUCACGACUGACCCUACUUUGGUUUCUUCCUAUGGCAGAAAUGACUGGGACAAUCCUCGAAAUAAUGGAACUCGAGUUGUCAUUGGCAAUGAGACCGUAUAUGUGGAUAUUUUUUGGGGCUAUCAAUAUGCCAUAAUGAAUGAAGAUCUCACUAAAAGAGAGUUUAUCAAGGGUGAUGACAUCAUAUUUCUCUUCAGCAUGCAAGAUAUCUCAGGGCUAUUUCAAUCUGAGUUUUUACCCUGCCCAAAAGUGACAAUAAUGGAUUUCAGCAUUUCUUCUCAUUCAACUGCCCAGCAGGGAUCAUGUGCUACAAGGUGAAUAUCCAUUUAAGCUCUGUUGUAUGCUUAUUCAAAAUACAGGGAAAAAAGUGUUUUUAAAGGUAAACCUACUGAAAAAUGUAACACUAUUAUUAAGAAAUAAGAGAAUCUGCUAUAUUGGCUAAAUAUAAUCAUGACUAAAGUCCAUUGUAAAGGGGGUCACAUGAUGUUGCUAAAAAGAAAAAUAUUUUGUGUAAUAAAAUGUGUUAAUGUGGUUAAAGGUUAAAAAAA
Long non-coding RNA from Cyprinus carpio (common carp), 1282 nucleotides. The record is from Ensembl. NCBI's taxonomy places the organism in Eukaryota, Metazoa, Chordata, Actinopteri, Cypriniformes, Cyprinidae.